CUAAAAUGCGCUCGUGCACUAGCGCCCUCUGAAGAAGUGGAUCUAAAUUAUAUAGCAAAAUCCAGUUUUCUGCACAACUUAUGUUACCACACGAGUUCGAUUAUCCAGAGAGAUGGUAAAACAGUUGGAAAAAAAAUGUAAUUUUGCGGCAAUAUAUUUGAUAUUAUAGCAUUA
Molecule: long non-coding RNA, 174 nt
Organism: Wasmannia auropunctata (little fire ant)
Lineage: Eukaryota; Metazoa; Arthropoda; Insecta; Hymenoptera; Formicidae
Exons: 2
Source: RefSeq, a predicted model, not a curated record